This 582-nucleotide ribosomal RNA is filed under the name Aspergillus fumigatus. Its description in RNAcentral is "eukaryotic LSU rRNA". The stretch from base 238 to 391 matches the Rfam family "5.8S ribosomal RNA". Lineage: Eukaryota; Fungi; Ascomycota; Eurotiomycetes; Eurotiales; Aspergillaceae. The record is from RNAcentral.
AAGUAAAAGUUGUAACAAGGUUUCAGUAGGUGAACGUGCGGAAGGAUCAUUACCGAGUGAGGGCCCUAUGGGUCCAACCUCCCACCCGUGUCUAUCGUACCUUGUUGCUUCGGCGGGCCCGCCGUUUCGACGGCCGCCGGGGAGGCCUUGCGCCCCCGGGCCCGCGCCCGCCGAAGACCCCAACAUGAACGCUGUUCUGAAAGUAUGCAGUCUGAGUUGAUUAUCGUAAUCAGUUAAAACUUUCAACAACGGAUCUCUUGGUUCCGGCAUCGAUGAAGAACGCAGCGAAAUGCGAUAAGUAAUGUGAAUUGCAGAAUUCAGUGAAUCAUCGAGUCUUUGAACGCACAUUGCGCCCCCUGGUAUUCCGGGGGGCAUGCCUGUCCGAGCGUCAUUGCUGCCCUCAAGCACGGCUUGUGUGUUGGGCCCCCGUCCCCCUCUCCCGGGGGACGGGCCCGAAAGGCAGCGGCGGCACCGCGUCCGGUCCUCGAGCGUAUGGGGCUUUGUCACCUGCUCUGUAGGCCCGGCCGGCGCCAGCCGACACCCAACUUUAUUUUUCUAAGGUUGACCUCGGAUCAGGUAGGG